RNAcentral lists this transfer RNA (68 nucleotides) under Marmota monax (woodchuck). RNAcentral describes it as "tRNA.Ser". The record is from RNAcentral. Lineage: Eukaryota; Metazoa; Chordata; Mammalia; Rodentia; Sciuridae.
GGCUUGUAGCUCAGUGGUAGAGUGCUUUCCCUGAAUGUGGAAGGCACUGGGUUCGAGCCUCAGCACCA